ACGCCUUUAGCUCAGUUGGUAGAGCAACUGACUCUUAAUCAGUGGGUCCAGGGUUCGAGUCCCUGAAGGCGUACCA
Molecule: transfer RNA, 76 nt
Filed under: Clostridia bacterium
Lineage: Bacteria; Bacillati; Bacillota; Clostridia
Also listed under: 1 other name
Description: tRNA-Lys
Rfam family: tRNA
About the family: Transfer RNA (tRNA) molecules are approximately 80 nucleotides in length. Their secondary structure includes four short double-helical elements and three loops (D, anti-codon, and T loops).
Source: RNAcentral